UACGUAGGGAGCGAGCGUUAUCCGGAUUUAUUGGGUGUAAAGGGUGCGUAGACGGGAGUGCAAGUUAGUUGUGAAAUCCCUCGGCUCAACUGAGGAACUGCAACUAAAACUGUACUUCUUGAGUGCUGGAGAGGAAAGCGGAAUUCCUAGUGUAGCGGUGAAAUGCGUAGAUAUUAGGAGGAACACCAGUGGCGAAGGCGGCUUUCUGGACAGUAACUGACGUUGAGGCACGAAAGUGUGGGGAGCAAAC
This 250-nucleotide ribosomal RNA is filed under the name uncultured prokaryote. RNAcentral's name for it is "partial 16S ribosomal RNA". It matches the Rfam family "Bacterial small subunit ribosomal RNA", at positions 524 to 773 of the family's 1533-position model. The record is from RNAcentral.